GUUAUUUUGGCAGAUUAGUGCGAUGGAUUUAGAAUCUUUAUAUGUAAUAUAUACAAAUAACA
This 62-nucleotide transfer RNA is filed under the name Palaestes nicaraguae. Its description in RNAcentral is "tRNA-Leu". The record is from RNAcentral. Lineage: Eukaryota; Metazoa; Arthropoda; Insecta; Coleoptera; Cucujidae.